AUCCAAAUGAUGAGUCCCAAAGGGGACGAAAUGCGCAUCCUGGAU
Molecule: non-coding RNA, 45 nt
Filed under: Trichobilharzia regenti
Lineage: Eukaryota; Metazoa; Platyhelminthes; Trematoda; Strigeidida; Schistosomatidae
Source: RNAcentral